This 254-nucleotide ribosomal RNA is filed under the name uncultured bacterium. RNAcentral's name for it is "partial 16S ribosomal RNA". It matches the Rfam family "Bacterial small subunit ribosomal RNA", at positions 524 to 776 of the family's 1533-position model. The record is from RNAcentral.
CACGUAGGGGGCGAGCGUUGUCCGGAUUUAUUGGGCGUAAAGAGCUCGUAGGUGGCUCGGUAAGUCGGGUGUGAAAACUCGGGGCUCAACCCCGAGACGCCACUCGAUACUGCUGUGGCUUGAGUCCGGUAGGGGAGCGUGGAAUUCCUGGUGUAGCGGUGAAAUGCGCAGAUAUCAGGAGGAACACCGGUGGCGAAGGCGGCGCUCUGGGCCGGUACUGACACUGAGGAGCGAAAGCGUGGGGAGCAAACAGG